This 465-nucleotide ribosomal RNA is filed under the name Vreelandella stevensii. RNAcentral describes it as "partial 16S ribosomal RNA". It matches the Rfam family "Bacterial small subunit ribosomal RNA", at positions 338 to 795 of the family's 1533-position model. The record is from RNAcentral. Lineage: Bacteria; Pseudomonadati; Pseudomonadota; Gammaproteobacteria; Oceanospirillales; Halomonadaceae.
CCUACGGGUGGCUGCAGUGGGGAAUAUUGGACAAUGGGCGAAAGCCUGAUCCAGCCAUGCCGCGUGUGUGAAGAAGGCCUUCGGGUUGUAAAGCACUUUCAGUGGGGAAGAAAGCCUUGGGGCUAAUACCCUCGAGGAAGGACAUCACCCACAGAAGAAGCACCGGCUAACUCCGUGCCAGCAGCCGCGGUAAUACGGUGGGUGCGAGCGUUAAUCGGAAUUACUGGGCGUAAAGCGCGCGUAGGCGGUCUGAUAAGCCGGUUGUGAAAGCCCCGGGCUCAACCUGGGAACGGCAUCCGGAACUGUCAGGCUAGAGUGCAGGAGAGGAAGGUAGAAUUCCCGGUGUAGCGGUGAAAUGCGUAGAGAUCGGGAGGAAUACCAGUGGCGAAGGCGGCCUUCUGGACUGACACUGACGCUGAGGUGCGAAAGCGUGGGUAGCAAACAGGAUUAGAUACCCCAGUAGUC